AGCACUUUGACUGCUGCAUGUUCUUGUCCUUUGAUCGGCGACGAUCAAAGGAAACAUGCAGUGGGCU
RNAcentral lists this small RNA (67 nucleotides) under Sinorhizobium meliloti 2011. RNAcentral describes it as "putative ncRNA". Lineage: Bacteria; Pseudomonadati; Pseudomonadota; Alphaproteobacteria; Hyphomicrobiales; Rhizobiaceae. The record is from RNAcentral.